GCUUAUACUCGACCGUCAGCGGCACGUGCGAUCGCGUUCGCGCGCGAUCACGAAGCCCUGACGAGUAGGAGGGUCGCGGCGGUGAGCGCAGAAGGGCUGGCCGCGAGGCCGUCUGGAGCCGCCGUCGGUGCAGAUCUUGGUGGUAGUAGCAAAUACUCCAGCGAGGCCCUGGAGGACUGACGUGGAGAAGGGUUUCGUGUGAACAGCCGUUGCACACGAGUCAGUCGAUCCUAAGCCCUAGGCGAAAGCCGAUGUCGAUGCGGUGUAGCUUUAUCACAUAUAUUUUAUUAUAUAUCGAGUAUGAAACACACCCGUCGGGCGAAAGGGAAUCCGGUUCCUAUUCCGGAACCUGGCAGCGGAACCGUAAAAAAGUCGGGC
This 378-nucleotide ribosomal RNA is filed under the name Kyklioacalles navieresi. Its description in RNAcentral is "eukaryotic LSU rRNA". It matches the Rfam family "Eukaryotic large subunit ribosomal RNA", at positions 1340 to 1663 of the family's 3401-position model. Lineage: Eukaryota; Metazoa; Arthropoda; Insecta; Coleoptera; Curculionidae. The record is from RNAcentral.